RNAcentral lists this ribosomal RNA (241 nucleotides) under uncultured bacterium. RNAcentral describes it as "partial 16S ribosomal RNA". It matches the Rfam family "Bacterial small subunit ribosomal RNA", at positions 1251 to 1500 of the family's 1533-position model. The record is from RNAcentral.
UACCGGGCGACCGGAUGCGGAUCUCGAAAGCCUGUCCCAGUUCGGACUGGAGUCUGCAACCCGACUCCACGAAGUUGGAUUCGCUAGUAAUCGCGCAUCAGCCAUGGCGCGGUGAAUACGUUCCCGGGCCUUGUACACACCGCCCGUCAAGCCAUGGGAGCCGGGGGCGCCUGAAGUCCGGGACCGCGAGGACCGGCCUAGGGCGAAACUGGUAACUGGGGCUAAGUCGUAACAAGGUACC